This 185-nucleotide ribosomal RNA is filed under the name uncultured bacterium. RNAcentral describes it as "partial 16S ribosomal RNA". It matches the Rfam family "Bacterial small subunit ribosomal RNA", at positions 1315 to 1500 of the family's 1533-position model. The record is from RNAcentral.
CCUACAUGAAGCUGGAAUUGCUGUAAUGGCAGGUCAGCAUACUGCCGUGAAUACGUUCCCGGGCCUUGUACACACCGCCCGUCACACCAUGAGAGUUGGGGAUACCCGAAGCCUGUGAGCCAACUGUAAAGAGGCAGCAGUCGAAGGUAGAAUCAAUGAUUGGGGUGAAGUCGUAACAAGGUAUC